CCGAGCCCGAAGGGCGCCGAGGCGUUAUUGGGGGGCAGGGGCGGCCGCCGGGGCCCUGCUCGCCUGUGGCACGACUGGCGGGCGCCGGGCUGCCAUUUUGUCACCGUGGCUGUUGUCGCUGUGGGGGGGUGUGCAGAGUCUUGCGCCAUCGCCCCGACGGCCCCGGACGUGGAGGCAGCAGGGGAAGCCGGCUCCGGGGACCCCGGGUUGUGCUCUGGGCCCCGAGGGGGGGUUCCCUCCCCGCGACAACGGCCUGAGGCUCUGCUGGAGCGUCGCGGCGGCGGUCGCCCUGGGAGGGCGGCGAUCCUCUCAGCAAGUGCUCCCCCCCACCCCCCAUCGCGCUCCCUAUCUCCCCCGCCCCUCUUCUCGCCAGUGUUUCGCCCUUCCUCCCGCUGGCGUUUUAGACAUAGUGAAAUGUGGCCCUGAAGACGUGCUGGUCGCCCCGGAGUUUGCUCUUUCGGAGGAACUGAUAGGAGGGUUGGGGGAAAAAUUAAACAUGAGGUUUCUUUUUCGGGAGGGGGGCGCGCGCGCGACUCUAGCGGCCCUGACUGGAGCCAAGGACAGCAGCCGCUUACCCGGGAGGGACGAGUUGUCGAUGUGUUGGGGAAACGCCCUCCGGGGCUGGGCUCUCCGGGAAGGUAGGUCGCGCUCCGGGUUUCAGGUGGGUGUUGCAGCGCCCUGCAGUCUGCUAGGGGAGCCCCCUCCCCCCGUCUUCCUCUGCCCCUCCCCCUUUUAUUUUUUGCCUUGGGGAAGGCAGUUUACGGUAGUAAACGUCACCCUAAACCGAAAAGGGAAGGGAAUAAGGCUUGCUUUUUAAAAAAGUAAGUGAUGUCUUUCUGCCGACCGCCUUUCUGCGUCACGUCUCUGGCUUCUCUCCGGGACUUUUUAAAAGCCGAUGUCAGCGCUGGUUAAGCACCUCACUGGUUAAAGUCUGGUGUCUGCAUGAGACUAGCUUUGAUGGCAGUGCCCGGCAGAGGCUGCCCAGGAAGCCAGGUUUUAACUUUGACCUUUGGAAUACGUCGCAUGAUGUUUUCCAGGCUGACUUACUGCCUAAUUGGGUUCAUGUAGCCUGAUAUUAACUCCAGUUUAUGCAAGCCAACCAAGGAUCCCCAGGCAGAAGACUGAGCUCCAGCUCGGUUUGGUCAUGGUCGGUUAUGUUUUGUUAAUGGAUGUGCUGCUGCUGCUGCUGCUGUUAGUUUCGAGUCUGGGGGCUCCAUCGUGAAGCUGAGUUUUGGAGCCCCCACGGACCUGAGUUUGAAUUCUGACUGCUACAGAGAGGUGCUCAGUAUGUGAUAGUGUUAUUGGAGAGAGAACUGCCGUACCAUGAGGCACAACUUUGAGCUUCUCUCUGGUUCUGGACAACAACAACAACAAUAAUAGUGAAUGCUCACACAGCCCCACCCUGUGCCUGGCACAAUUCUAAGUGGAUUAGACAGAUGAAUUAAACUAGUCCCCACAGCAGCACUGUGAGGUAGGUACUAUUGUUAUUCUCGUAUUACACACAGGGAAAUUGAGGCAGAGAGAACUUACCACAGGCAGUCUGCAUACUCCGCUUCUUAGUCUCUGUUCCCUCCCCUGAAGCACCCUUUUUUGUCAGACACCGAGGGGAAGAGCUUUUUCUUCUCUGGCUUUAAAACAGUGCCACCUUAUGAGGGAUUGAGUUUCCUGUCACUGAAGGUACCGACAUGAACCCGGGAUGGCCUCCCGGUUGGAGAUACUGAGGUGGAUGGUCAGGACCAGGGGCUCUGAUACAGGGGAAACUGUACACUUUCUGAGUUUGGUUUAGAACAUCACAUCUGUUUAGGCUGAAAUAAGUCUGUCCUUUUAGGUGUUGGAGUAUACAUUUUGGGUAAUGAGAAGACUCUUAGGCAGUGGUUUGUAUGGGAUUUUGCAUGUAAUGCAUUUUCCAUUUUUGUCACCAUCUACAGCCAGAAAACUGAAGAGAAUUGGCAUGGCCUCUGUACCUAAGAUGCAGUAUACUAAUAACAACUCAAGGAUCAUCUCCCUUAGUUCUCCUUAACAACUCGUCAAGGUUAGGCAAAGCAGUGUGACAUCCUCCAUGUUGCGAGGGUGGUCACUUUAUACAACAGAGUUGAGUUCUCGUCCCACCGUUAAGCCAGGGGCCCCUUUAGUUGGACAGUAGGGACUCUUGAGAGUUGUGUGGUCCAUUAGGUCCCAAACAUGGCCCCUCAUCAGAAUCAUCUGGGGAGCGUGUAAAAUGCAGAUCCCACAAGGGUCGUGAAAUUCAGGGUGAGCUGCCUGCUUCAGUAUCAUGAGCUAAGAAUAAUCUGGACACAGAAACGUUGCAAUCAAUGUGAUGAUGUGGAACACUUAACUUUGAAUCUCCAUUAAGUGAAAUGUUAUCCCCCCAAAAGAAUUCCACUUGUCUUGUUAGAUGGUUAUAACCCUUCCACCCCCCAAAUUGUAUUCAUUAUAGAUCUUGAAUUUUGUCAAUAAAAGAAUUGUGGAAA
Molecule: non-coding RNA, 2471 nt
Organism: Leptonychotes weddellii (Weddell seal)
Lineage: Eukaryota; Metazoa; Chordata; Mammalia; Carnivora; Phocidae
Source: RefSeq, a predicted model, not a curated record